GUCUACAGCCAUGCCACCCUGAACAAGCCCGAUGUCUGAUCCCAGAAGCUAAGUAGGGUCGGGCCUGGUUAGUACUUGGAUGGGAGACCACCUAUGAAGACGAGGUGCUGUAGGUA
This 116-nucleotide ribosomal RNA is filed under the name Pteropus alecto (black flying fox). The record is from RNAcentral. Lineage: Eukaryota; Metazoa; Chordata; Mammalia; Chiroptera; Pteropodidae.